Molecule: long non-coding RNA, 302 nt
Organism: Lynx canadensis (Canada lynx)
Lineage: Eukaryota; Metazoa; Chordata; Mammalia; Carnivora; Felidae
Exons: 3
Source: RefSeq, a predicted model, not a curated record
AAGACCCUCAUUCCUGUGGCCAGUUCCCUGUUCAUGGACUUGGGCUCUGCGAUGUCUUGCAGUCCUAACACGACUUGAGGACAAACCGAGGGCAUAACCCUGGCAAACAGUGGACUUCGAAUCUCUACCUCGCUGUCCUUGAAGUUGGCCCGCCAGCAAACUGCCUGAGUUUUUGAAGCACUUCAAACUUCCAACCGUCAGUGCAUGCCCCCAAAGCCCUUCUGCACGCCGGUCGUCGGCUGGAGUUCAUUCUUAAUUUACGUUUUUAAAGAGAGAGACAGAGCAUGAACAGGGGAGGGGCA